UAAAGCCAUUUCGGAUUACUUGUGGUUU
Molecule: non-coding RNA, 28 nt
Filed under: Bombyx mori (domestic silkworm)
Lineage: Eukaryota; Metazoa; Arthropoda; Insecta; Lepidoptera; Bombycidae
Source: RNAcentral